This 492-nucleotide ribosomal RNA is filed under the name uncultured bacterium. Its description in RNAcentral is "partial 16S ribosomal RNA". It matches the Rfam family "Bacterial small subunit ribosomal RNA", at positions 30 to 507 of the family's 1533-position model. The record is from RNAcentral.
AUUGAACGCUGGCGGUAGGCCUAACACAUGCAAGUCGAACGGCAGCACAGUAAGAGCUUGCUCUUACGGGUGGCGAGUGGCGGACGGGGGAGGGAUACAUCGGAAUCUACGUGGGAGUGGGGGCUAACGUAGGGGAACUUACGGUAAUACCGCAUACGACCUACGGGGGAAAGCAGGGGAUCUUCCGACCUCGCGUGAGUCAAUGAGCCGAUAUCGGAUUAGCGAGUUGGCGGGGUAAAGGCGCACCAAGGCGACGAUCCGUAGCCGGUCUGAGAGGAUGAUCAGUCACACUGGAACUGAGACACGGUCCAGACUCCUACGGGAGGCAGCAGUGGGGAAUAUUGGACAAUGGGCGCAAGCCUGAUCCAGCCAUGCCGCGUGGGUGAAGAAGGCCUUCGGGUUGUAAAGCCCUUUUGUUGGGGAAGAAAAGCAGCAGGUUAAUACCCCGCUGUUCUGACGUUACCCACAGAAUAAGCACCGGCUAACUUCGUG